This 64-nucleotide transfer RNA is filed under the name Helobdella robusta. It matches the Rfam family "tRNA". Rfam says of the family: Transfer RNA (tRNA) molecules are approximately 80 nucleotides in length. The record is from Rfam by way of RNAcentral. Lineage: Eukaryota; Metazoa; Annelida; Clitellata; Rhynchobdellida; Glossiphoniidae.
AGGGGUUUAAGUAUAAUAAAAAGCUUCUAACUUUUUUAAGGUGGUUAAAUUCCAUCAACCCCUU